Molecule: long non-coding RNA, 18096 nt
Filed under: Gossypium barbadense (sea-island cotton)
Lineage: Eukaryota; Viridiplantae; Streptophyta; Magnoliopsida; Malvales; Malvaceae
Description: long non-coding RNA (GBAR_LNC013756)
Source: RNAcentral
UUAUAUGUUUCAUGUGGUCAAAUAUUGGUUGUCUACUUCUAGACAUUCUGUUCUGUUCAAACUUCAAACCGUACUAAGCUUUUGAGAAAUAUGUUAUUAAAUUUUCUUUUAUUUGUGCUCACAUCACUAAAGUUGAUAUAUGAUUGUAGCAGUUAGUUCUCAAAAGCUUGUUAAGCCUUUCCAGCAGUUAAGAGCCUACUUUUUUUUUUUUUUCUGAACAAGUUAAGAGUGUACUUCUGGUUCAUGGGUACUUGAUCUCAAUGCAUAUUUGAUUUGGAAAAUAUGAGAAUACAAGUUUUCUACCAAAUUAUAUGUUAGGAUCCGUAAUCUCAAAUACAGUAUCGAAUAUAUAGCUAUAUAAACUAUUGUCUCUUGAGAAGUGAGAAUUUGAGUUUUCAUGUUCUUGGUGAAAAUAGGAUUUUGACAGAUUUGUGUUAAGAAAAACUAUUUUCUUCAAAGAAGAAAAAAUGUUCACUAGAAAAAUUUACAGAAAAAUAGAAAUGUUAUUAUAUAAUAUUCAUGUUAUCCUUCACAGAGCUAUAUAUGUAUUAUUUGGUGUUCAGUUACUAUGGUGGAAAGAUUAUAAAAUCCAGUUUUAUUGUUAGUCAUCUUAUUUGUGAAUUUUUUAUUGGUUUGGAUAAUACGGUUUAUUUAAAUUUUAAUAUUUUAACUAGCAGAUUCAGAUAUUACUUGACUUGGAUAAUAAUAUCCACAUUUAAAGCUGGAUUUCAAAACGAAUAUAUUAAAUAAAAUUCAUUUAAAAGCUAUAACAAAUUUGAUUUAAACUCAUUUAAUUAAAUUUAGUAAAAUCGUUUUUACAGUUAAGUAAACCCUUACAACAUAUUUUACAUGAUUUAAUGUGUCAAAUAGACAUUAAUGUUAAUGUCAAAUACAUAUUAAAAUAUAUUGUAUCAACAUUUCAUAUAAUUAAUAUAUGCAACAAGUUGAAUCCCACGUGUUGGCUUAAUGGUCAGAGUGUUUACGUGAUCUAGGAUCGAGUCGCACUAAUCGUGUUGUUGUUAGGGAUUUGCCCUCAUUUUAAUUUCACCAAAAGAAAAUGUAUUUUGCAUUUAAAAAAAAAAAACCACGAAUGGUGAAUAGAGGUUAGUUCCAUUUUUCUUUGUCUAUCUAUUAUUAUGAGUUUCUCUAUUUUUGCAUGAAACUGUCAAGGAUGUGCAGGUCGUAAAUUCCCGUGUAUUUUUCGUGAAUAUAAUAAGGAGUUUAAGCUGAACAUUAUUGGACUUUAAGAAAUGAGAGUUAGUUGGUGUAAAGCAGAUUUAAUCAUGCAAAAACUUGGUUUUGAGUUUUCACAUCAGGCUAAAUCUAUUGAUUUUUCGGGAGGAAUUUGGAUUGAUUAGAAGGAUUCUGUUUGUGUAGAGGUUAUUAAAAGUCAACCCCAGUUUAUUUUAACGAGGGUAUCAGAUAAUUCUCCUAGACAUCCAGCUUUAAUUGCCUUUGUUUAUGGUAGUCCUGAUAAACAAAACCGAAGAUUUCUUUGGAAAGUGUUGAGUUUGACCAUACAAAGUGAAAGGAUCCCUUGGUUAGCAAUUGGAGAUUUAAUGCUAUUCUCUCAACUGAUGAAAAAAAGGGUGGGCGGGGCAUUGGAAGGAGAUGUUCAUUAUUUGGUGAUUUUAUGGAUUUAUCUAAUCUUCAUUACUUAGGUUUGAUGGGUCCAGAGUUCACUUGGGCAAGAGGAGGAAUUGUAGAAAUGUUGGAUAAGGCAAUGUGUAAUAAAGCUUGGUUUUCUGCUUUUCCUAACAGCUUGGUAACCCACCUUCUGAGACUCAAGUCUGAUCACAGGCCUCUACUUCUUUCUCCUAAACUAAAGUUUUGAAUUGAAUAUAGUACACUUUGAUCAUCUUUUGCAAUUAAAAAUGGAGGUGCGUGAAGAGUUGGAAAGCGUCUUGUAUCAUGAAGAGCUUUUUUGGGAACAGAAGGCGAGGUGUGAUUGGUUGAACUUGGGAGAUUGUAAUACCAAGUUUUUUUAUAGGCGCAUUUUGCAAAAAAGGAAGGUUAAUAAGAUCAAUGCUUUGGAAAAUGAUAAAGGGGAUUGGAUGUAUGAGGAAGAGGAGCUCAAACAUGAGGCUGUUACUUUUUCUCAAAAACUUUAUGGUGAGCAACCAAGUCCGAUGAGAGGCCUUCCCCCAAGUGCUUUCCCUAAGCUUGAUGAAUUUGAUAUCUAGUUUUUGAGACAACUGAUUAUGGAUGAGGAAAUUAAGAGGGCAAUGUUCGAUAUGGCCCCCUGAAAGCGCCAAAUAGUGAUGGUUUUCAUGCCUCUGUUUUCCAAGAUCAACGGGAUCAAAUAGGGGGCUUUGUGUGUGAAUGGGUUAAGGGGAUAUUUGUUGGGAAUCCUAUUGAAUUGAAUUUAAAUAACACCUUAAUUGUUGUUAUUCCCAAGGUUAAAAGUCCUAAAAUUUUUCUCAAUUCUGAUCAAUCAGUUUGUGUUCAGUUCUUUAUAAUCUGGUUAUGAAAAUCAUCGUCAAUUGAUUCAAAGUGGUCUUCCCGAAAAUAAUAGCUUAGGAAUAGGUAGGCUUCAUAACUAGUAGAAACCUCACUGAUAACAUCAUCAUUACGCAGUAGGUUGUUCAUUCUAUGAAGAGUCGACAAAAGAAUAAAAGAUUGCUGGCCGUUAAAAUAGAUUUGGAAAAGGCAUAUGAUCGGGUUCGAUGAGUCACCAAAGAGCAUGAUUUUCUCAUUAAUGUAAUUGUGUCUACUAUUACGAACUCUACUUUGUAGAUUUUAUGGAAUGUCGUUCCUAUACAAACUUAAACUGACUAGAGGUGUUCAUCAAGACUGUCCUUUAUCUCCGUGCUUAUUUGUCUUAUGUAUGGAGUGGCUUGGUCACAACAUUCAUGCUCACAUUGAUUGCAAUCUUUGGGAUCCGAUUAAUUGACCCAUUUGGGUCCACCUCUUUUUCACUUAUUUUUUACAGAUGAUCUCAUGCUCUUUGGUCAGGCCAACGUUCAACAAACCCAAAUUCUGAAAGGCAUAUUGGAUAGGUUUUGUAAGUUUUCUGGACAUCGGAUAAAUUCGCAAAAGACCAACAUCUUUUUCUCAAAAGAGGUUGAUGAGAAUCUAACGUGGAGGAUUAGUAAUUUCUUGGGCUUUCAUAGAGUGAAUAAUCUAGGAUCUUACUUGGGCAUGCCACUUUUUCAUGAGCGAGUUACCAAUAGCACCUUAAGGUUUGUGGUAGACAAAAUUCAAAGUAAGUUGAAUAGUUGGGAUGCACGUAAGUUUUCACUAGUGGGAAGAGUCACACUUGCUCAAUUGGUUCUUUUAACAAUCCUAAGUUUUUUUUAUGUAGCCUAUGAUGAUUCUUAAGGGUAUUUGUGAUGAAAUUGAAUGUUUGAUAAGGCAGUUUAUCUGGGGAUCUUCAACUAGUGGCAAAAAAUGACAUUAGUUUGCUGGGAGGUUAUUUGUCAACCACGACCCAAUGGUGGUUUGGGAUUAAGGCGGAUACGAGAUCAUAAUAUGACCUUCAUGAUGAAAAUCGGGUUUAAGAUUGUUUCAGACCCAAAAGCCCUUUAGGUUCGUGUUCUUAAAACAAAAUAUAGGAUCCAAAAUGGUUUACCGGAAACCUUGAUUCAAAGUAGUGGUUCUUUUCUUUGGAAAAAUCUAUCAAAUUUAUGACCAUUCAUUUGAGAAAAUUUAAUUUGGUCGGUGGGAGAUGGUAGAAGUAUUAAUUGUUGCAAAGAUUCUUAGAUUCCUACUGUUGGCCUUCUUUGUAAUCGUAUGCCUUCUUAUUUUAACUUGAUGAUGGAUUGCCCACUUAGAGAAAUGGUUACUGAGGAAGGUUAUUGGAAUUUUGAUUUUUUUCGACUCUAACUCCUAGACGAGAUCAUUUGGAGGAUUUUGGGAAUCCUCCCGCCGCAUCCAGUAGUCGGUUCAGACAGUCAUAUGGAGUGGCUCAACAUCAGGUUCCUUUAUGCUCAAAAGUGCCUAUGGAAGAAUCCGAGGUAGGUCAUGGAACCCAAAAGAGAUAGUUUGGCAGCUUUCGUGGAAAUUUUCGAGGCCUCAGAGGGUUAAAUUCUUCUUUUGGCUUGCCCUUCAACAUCUAGUAGUCGGUUCGAACAGUCAUACGGAGUGGCUCAACAACAGGGUCCUUUAUGCUCAAAAGUGCCUAUGGAAGAAUCCGAGGUAGGUUAUGGAACCCAAAAGAGAUAGUUUGGCAGCUUCCGUGGUAAUUUUUGAGGCCUUAGAGGGUUAAAUUCUUCUUUUGGCUUGCCCUUCAACAGCGUAUGCGUACUAACGUGAAGAAUGAGGAGAUGUAUUAGUCUGGAUAGUUUGUGGAUUCUGCCAUUAUGAGUUGGAGAUGUGACUCACGUUUUAAAAGAUUGCCCUGCAACUAGAGACAUUUGGGAGCUCGUUGUCCCUGCUGAUAAGUUGUCCCUAUUCUUCUCAGGAGAUCUUCUAGAGUGGCUAGUGACAAACCUACAAAACCAUCAUCAGAUUCACUUGGGAGAUGUUGAUUGACAAUGUUUCUUUGGUCUCAUUGUGUGGCGGAUCUGGAAAAAUCGCAAUCUCCUUUUAUUUCAGGGUAUCCCAUGAUUACAUCAAGUAGACAGCCCCAUAAUUUGCAGGGUGUAAGUGGGGUAUUACUUGAUGCAAAUGUAGCAACAAGUUCAGUUGGUCAAGGUAGUUAUUCAGCUGGCCAAGGAAGCCCACCUGCCAACCGUUGAGUCACCUUCAACAAUACAAGGGCAUACUAGGAAUUCACCAUUAGUAAACGUUGCUGCUGUUGGAGCUGACGCAUCUUGGUGCCCAGAUUCCGGUGCUACACAUCACUUGAUCAACAAUGCCUCGGCUGUUUCAGUUUUUCCUCUUCAUACACGGGAUUAGGUAAAAUUCUUGAUGGUCAUGGUUGUGGUUUAUCCAUUUCUCGUGUUUGUAUACAUUGCUCACUGGCUCUUAAGGUUUUGAUGUUUAGCAAUGUAAUUGGAAAUAUGAGAUUAUAAAGGUGAUCAAAAUGUUAAAACCCAAACACAUAAUUUUAUUCAGGGAUGUGAGAUUACGGAAUGUUAUGUUAUAUUUGAUGAACCCUAAAAUGAAAACCAAAUGGCAGAGGAGACUUUAUAUACAUAGCUGAUUGAAUGCAAAGACUUGAUAUCCACCAGAGCGCUGGUGAACUAUCAUUAUUUUAAUAUAUAUAGACCCACGCAUCUUUUACGUUUUGCAUAUUACUACUUCCCAUUAAUUUAUUUCAGAUGGAAGAUACGAGAGAAGAAUCAUCUUCUGUAAUUCUAAGAUUCACAGACUCUUUUAACAAAUCAAAUGAAGUGAAAGAAUGUGGUCGCAGUAGCGCACUCAUCUCUUGCGCAUCUUCCAGCAGUGUUUGAUUAGGAGCGACCUGCAUGUAUCAACCAUGAAAAUUUAGUCUUAAUGUUUUUAUGAUCUAAAUUUUAAGUAUCAACAAAGGUGAGAAUGAGGACCAGAACAUAUGCAAACCAAGCAGUAGGGUUGCAUUAACAUGAACAUAUGCAAAGACUUCAAGGACUUUUUUGCAAAAACAGAAGAUGAAAAGUAAUAAAAAUGGCUGUUUAACCUUCUUUGGCUCCUUGAAGGAAUUCUCAUCCAUCAGAUUAGCAGACGUGAGAGUGGUCUUUGUUGAUCCAGACAGCUUUACAGAAUUUGGAUCCAAUCCAUCAACAGAAAUUUGGAGGUUGACUGAAUUGCUCCCAAAGUUUACAACCUGGAUUCAUCAUAUAUAUAUUUGAAUGUAAGAGGAAUAUAUGCCAAAAGAUAAAAGGCAAUCAAUAACUUUUCAAUUAAUAAGAUGAUGGUAGAAUUAAGCAAGUGGCAGAGACUUUUUAGAUUUAAGGAUUUUAAUUUAUGUUAGGUUUGAUCCAAGAAUGCCUAACUUGCAUUCUUUUUUAACUUGAGAAGUAGCUUUUUGUGUUCUCUAAGGAUAUUUUGAUGUAGCCAAGUUCAAAAUUUAAGCUACCAACUUUACUUCCAUCUUUUGAUAAUGAGAAAUCAUCUGUUAAAUCUUUAUUAUCAAUUCCAUCUGAGAGCCAAAUAGCCAUAAGAAACAUAAGGUCAAUAUAUAUGCAAACACAUGUAUGUGAAAAUACAUGCAAACAAUGCAGUCAUUUAAUGCAUGCCUAUUUACCAAGAGGCCAUAUAUAUAUAUAACCAACAAAGUUCUUCUAGGUCCUGCACAUUCAGGGAAAUCAAGCAAUAAUCCUUUUUUAAAUAUGUUUAAAUGUAUCUAUAUCGAUACCUAUGCUGUGGGUUGAUUGAUAAGCAUCACAGGCCCUAGAUAACUAAUGAGAUCUUGAAGCACAUGGACUUCUUGUUAGGCAAAAGGAAAAAUGAACAAAAAGUAGCCAUGGGAAAACAGUUGGAGAAAAAAGUCAAGAUCUCCAUGUUACAGACCUUUAUCCUUACGUAGGUUUGACCAUCCUCUGAAUUUUUCCAAGUAAUUGCAGAUGCAACAAGGGAAUUAGAUGAAUCUUUUUGCAGUGUUGCAUUAAGAAGAGUUGCUCCACUUGAUUCUGUGAAAAAACGUUGCACCCAGUAGCUAGGAGUUCCAUACACCUGAAAGGAGUUGAAGACGAUUGCAUCUGGGUUCCACCUUAAUAACAAUUUUUUAUCAAAAUCAGAUUUACAACAUAUUUAAGAGAGAGAUUACAUUUUAAAAAAAUAGUGAGAAAAAUACCGUCUGUCAUUGGAAUUCACAAAAAGUGGUGCAUAGCUAGCCAUAUGCACAACAUCGCUGCAGUAUAACAAACAUAGAUUCAGUAGCUUACACUGAGGAGGAUUAUAUAAUGAUAUUUAAGCAUAGUUUAGGUAUAUAAACAAUUGUGAGUCAGAAUCACUUCUAAUAGUUAUACAAAAACCAUCAAAAUCACAGCACAGCAAUUUUUUGCCAAUUUCCCAUUUCAAUGAACAAAUUUAAAGAGUCCUCGGUGAAGAGUCAAAUGUUUUAAAACUUCCCAAGAUCAGUAAAACAAACACUUAAAAACAAUUAAUAAUGAGCCAGCCAAUAGGGCUUUUCAUGAAGAUACUAGGGUAAGCCUAUUAUAAAGAAUUAAAUGAAAGAGACCAAAUAGAAUAUGUUGAAGAGAAAGAUUAACAAAAAAAAAAAAAAAGAAACAAAACCUGUUCUUUUCCAGACCAAUAAGGAAUGCAGCCUCAGCAAGUGCUGCUAAAAGACUUCCAGUGCCAGCAUCUUUCCCAGUCACAGCAUAUUCACUAACAAAGGCCUGGAAUGUGUUGAAGAAAAAAAAAAUAAGAAAACAAACAAAUCCAAAUAUCACUCAUAACCACCUUCACAUACCUUUGGACCCUGUCGUGUUGUACGAUCAAAUUUAUGGGACAUAGAAAACAAGUUGUUGGCAGAUGUAUAAACCUAUUAAGAUAUCAAGGAAAAAAAUUCAUCCUGCCAUCCAUAUUCUUAACAGAAAAUGAAAAUGAGAAAACAAAAGAAACAAGGAGAUAAACUAAAAAGUCAUUCUAGUGUCAUUAUGCUAGCUUUCAAGAACUUUACAUGAAAAUCAUAAAGAUCAGUUGGGUGGUCAAGCGGGAGAGAAGAUCCAUCACAGUUUGUAAUGAUUUUGAUAUCUGGGUAGGUCCGCUUUAUAGCAUCAUAGAACUUGAGGUAAUUUCCUGUUCAAUCCAAAAUAGGAAAAGAAAAUUAAGCAAAAAAAAGUGUCUCCAUACUCUGAUAUUUCUAAAUGAAAUAACAAUUCACUAAUAAUACUCCGGUAACUAAUCAAAUAAAAACAGUGGUAGAGUGAUAUGACCAGCAAUACUUGAGCGAAGGAUAAAACUUUUCCAUGUCUCCCAGAAAAGCUCUUUUUCCAAAAUUUUGCAACCAAAAAACUCGAGGACUCUUUUUCCAAAAUUUCGCAACAAAAAAACUCAAGGGCUGGACUCUACAUCCACCUUCUUAUGGACAAUACAAAGAGAAUUUGCCUUCAAUAACUAAAUAACUUUUGACAAAAGGGAUAUUAAUGAAAUGCAUUAAAAUGUUACAGAAGCUAUAAAAGAUUCCCAUUUAUAACUGCCAUGCCACUACCAAAUUCACAUGCAUAUGCAUGUGCAAGCAUGAUUUUGCUGACCUCGAUAAUUCUUCUUCCCACAAUCCUCAUUCCCAAUAGCAACAUAUUUCAAAUCGAAAGGUUCAGGGUGUCCCAUUGCAGCUCGAACAGCACCCCAUGUAGAACUAGCAUCACCUCUAGCAAACUCAAUGCCAUCAAGGGCCUCCUGCAAUCAGCACAUUAUAAAGAAUAUCAUAAAAAACAAAACAUAAAGAAUGACUCAGUAAAAAACCAAAGUAUUCACAUAUAAUAAGAUCAAAAUUUAUUUUUUUCUUAUAAUCUAAUUAAAGCUCUCAUUGGAAAGUUCUCAAAAUACAUAAUUAAUUUUUUUUUAAAUGUAUAUGAAGCAUAUAAAAUUUAGUUUCUAGGAAAAGAAGAGAAAAAAAAGAAAAAGAAAUUUUUUGAGCUAUUUGUAAACUCUAAAAUCCCAACCCAGCUACCUCUUCCCACCAAUUAGAUUUAGAUACCUUAAAUUUCCAGCAAAUCAAGUACAGAUCCUCACCCUUUUCCAGUUAAGCUUAAGCUAAGGUAUCUCUAGAUAUCAAGUUUUAGAAACAAAAUAGAUUCAGGUUAUCUUAAACAAACACUAAACCCAUGUGGGAUUAAACCAACUUCAGUCAUAUCAUCAGACAACAGUUAUUAACCAAUAUCAUUGGCAAAAGGAAGAAUUGCAUAGACAUACUUGCACAAAAGGCAGAACACUGGAUGUAUCAACUUGAUCAUUAUGACUAAUUCCUGUAAAUUUUGAUAAAGCCCAAGGCAAAAGGUAAAGUGACCGGAAGCAUUAGCCACUAGUAUAUUAGUUAUAACUCUAAAAAAAUAAAAAUUAAAUCAUGAACAGAAUGGUGUACAUGCACAGUACCAUUGUUGAACACCCAUAUUGGCAAUGCACCAAGAUCCUCUGCUAACUGCAAGAAGAUAGUACUAAUUUAGAAUGCCAAGAGUUAAACAGCAUAAAUUGAAGUACUCCAUGUUCAGGAGAAAUCUAUAAAACCCUACAAAUGAAUAAGAUACCCACUUGAAGAAACUCAAAGUAACCAAGUCCAUCAUCAGUCCAGUACAUCCAAACGUCACCAAAGUGCCCUGGUCUUUCUUCCCAAGGUCCAACACUUGCUUUCCAGCGAAAAGCAUUUCUUAACCAUUCACCUUCCACAAAACAGCCACCUAAUGCAGUACAAUUAAGAAAAUACAUCAUUUUUAUGUUUAUAACUCAUGAUAUAUAUGUAUAUAUGUGUGUAUAUAUGACGCUAGUGCUUAAAAACAAAACCAGGACAGCAAGUGUCAGAUAAAACUUACAAGACAAACAAUCAGCAGAGUAUAAUUCAAUGAUCUACUAACAUACAAAAACAAAUUUUGUAUGGUAACCUGGUACAAGAGACACCGUAUAAUAUGUUAUUGAGAGAGUUCCAUACUGAAAUAGAUCAGAGGUUGUAUCUCAGCAAAGGUUUCUGAGAUUUUAAACAGGCAUUCUGAGAUUCUAAACAGCCAUCUAAUAAAAUUUUACAUCAAGACCAAGUGAAACAUUUAAGCAAACAGUGCAGAAAAAGUAAAAAAAUAGCAAGUACAGAUAAAAGUAACAAGACAGAUAAUGCAUUAGGGAAUUAGGCUAGUGGUUGAACUCAAUCAUUCUAAAAUUUCCAUGAUUCUAAGCAUCCACAACUAUGGUUCGUUAUAUACUGUUGCAUCCGUGAGUUUGGGAUUGAGUUCCAAGCAAUGGACAGAAAAUCACUCAAGUUAGGGAGCCUGAAACCUUUAGGACUCCUUAGAGACAAACCUAGAUAUCCUUUUAGGGUUUUGAUAAAAUUCAACUUGCAUUUGUUUUAUUCAUUGUCCCUUUAAAUAGAGAUUACAAUAAUUAAAGGAAGUAUAUCAAACUAAAUGAAGUCCUACCAAACACAUUCUAUUUUAAGAGUCCUAAAACCACUUCAUCUGAGAGUCCUACGUAACAACUACUAAGCGUCCACAACAAUACUUUCCUCCUGGAAAAAGAGAUUGUCAUCAAGCUCAGAGUUGGAAUAAACUUGGCAAAAGAUACCUUCCUCAAUAGUAAUCGACAUUUGCCCGACGCUCAUACAUCCAUCGAUCAUCAAUGUAGUCAAAGGAAAUUUUAUUAAAUAAAUCGAACACUACCACACCAUUAUUCCUUCUCUUUACUAACAAUCAAAACGAUAGGUGUCACAGACCUCACAAACUGAUAGGUGUUUGCCCUAGAGAGGUACUAGAAUGUGCAUUUGUUACCUCCACCAAAGCGGAAAAACCAAACAAAAUCACCAAAUCAAUAUGAAAAAACUAUUACUUGCUAACUUGGCUCAAAUAAAUAAAGCACUCUAUGUUACAUGUAUUAUCACUUUACCCUGGUAGAGCUGUCUGACAAUUCAUGGACAGUAAACUACUCUAUGGAUAUUGCACUUAAACCAUCAAGCUCAGUGCAUAAAUUGCUAAGAACAUGGUCUGCCAUCUCAAAGACAUACCCUUCUCAACCUAUCCAAAGUCCUUGUAGCUAGAAGGCAUAGAGGGGAAAAAUAAUGAGAUGGAUAUAGAGCUAGCAAGCUAAAUGAACUCGAAAAGAAACACCCAAACCUUACCUUGAGCCAACCUGCUUUAGAAAAGAAAUCAACUUGAACCCACCUAACCCCAGCCUUAUCCAAAUUUACAUUAGCUAUAAUUCCAUUUCCCUUUCAAACAUUAAUUUGGUUACAACUAAUAAAUUUAACAAACUUUUAGCAAGAUUAGUAAACCAAAUCAUAUAAACCAAUGCAUCAAAGAUGAAUAUUAAAAAUCAAUAAAUAAUUAAUGAUUUUUAGGAGAAAUCUGUCAAUAUCCAACGUAGUAUAACUCUAAAUUAGUAAAUGGCUUUCAAGUUACUGCUUUUUGUUCUUUGAUAUGAUCUAAUGAUAUUUUAAAAGAACUUAUCUUCUGAUAUUAAAAAAGGAAAAAAAGUGUUUAAGGACUGCUACCAAUUGAAAACAAAAACGCCGGCUUAAUUAAGGUUGAUAAAUUCUAACUCAACUUCAAUGACUUGCCUAAUCCAACUGAAUUUGCCUUUUAAAAUUCAAUAACUUUGACCAAAAAUGGUUUGAAAAAUUACUCAAACCCAAAAUGGAACUAACCUGAACCCACCCGCCCAAUUGCCACCUCUAGGAGGUAGCGACUAUUAAGGAAGGUCUAACCAAAAGAAAAUUAUCACAGAUGGAGCAGUCUUAGUAUAACAAAAUUAGAUAACCAAGACACUGAAGUUUAGAAAUCAUCACCAGAUUGAAAAAUAAAACAACGCGCCACCCCCCCCCCAAAAAAAAAAAAAAGAAAAAAAAAAAACCUCAGCAUAGUGACUAUAUACAAAACAAUUUGACCUAAGCUGUCAAGGUGCAUAACAUAGCACACACCUGGAAAUCUAAUAAAGCGAGGUUUGAUAUCUGCAAGCAUUUCAGCAAGCUCAUUUCGGAAACCAUGCCCCUGUUGCAAAAUCAUUACAACACAAAAAAUUAGAUUAUAUAAUAUAUGUAUUGCAGUUUGAAAUUGUGAAACAAGUUCAUGCAAUAGCAAACCCGCAAAAAUAUAAACUAAUGUUUUUGCAAAUCACUCGCUGUAAUCAAAGAAAAUAGAGAAGCUAGUAUUCCAUCAAGUUAGAGUAGUUUCCUACUUCUGUUUCUAUUUUUGAAACUAAAAAAUUGUUCGGUAAUGACUAUAUUUUUUCUGAAAAAAAAUCCAAAAGGUGCUUUUGGUGUUGUUAACAUGCAGAUGAACAGUGCCUACAGAUGAGAAGUGCCACUUAUUUACUCAAAUGUAUGACAAGUUGAGAAAUGGCAUCUAAAACUUUGAAGAACUAUUCUGAUCAUAUUAGGCUUUGAUUGGUAUGUACAAGUUGCUUGCUGAUCAAAAUUAUUUUAGACAUGGAUUUUCAUUAAAUGUACAUGCUUCUUCAAUUAUAUUUAUAGAGUUUUGAAGCCAUUAACUACAUAUUUUAAUUUAGAAAUCCUCAUCAUCAUUUUAGAAGACAUAUACAAACAUAUGCCUGACAGGACAGCCAAUUUAAACAUGCAAAGCAAUUGUCAUACUCUAAAUCUCAUAAUAAUCAGUUUCUAUAUAAUCAAGGAAUGUUGGCAGUUUAACCAAUCAAAAACAUAAAUUAGUCACUUUUCAGUAUGUCAUGAUUAAGAAAGAAACACAAACCUUGUAAGUGUCCAAAGGCAUAGCUGAAACUUGAUCAAACCAUACCACACCAUUUUUCGAUGUUGUUAGUUGCAGCCUUGAAUUGUGAUUUGUUUCCUUGGCUUCCAACAGAACCUCCAUCUUUGUCCAGUUUGAAACAUCAGAAGCAGAAGCUCUGCGAGGACAAGAAGAUGAACUCCACGGCAUCUCAAACGAUAAUUCUUGUAUGAAGGAAUCAUUAAGUGGACAAUAUCUUUCAGAGUAUGAGAAUAUUAAUUAGGUUCUUACUUUAUGUUGGUGGAGGAUAGUGUCUGCAAGCCAUCUGAGCUCGUAAAAGAUACAGAAAUGUCAAUUGCUCCUGUUGAGCGAACAUAAAAUACGAUCUUGUAGCUCUUCCCUUGCUCAAUAUUCUGCAUGAGAAACAAGGUAGAAACUAUAUAAAUUGUAGAACAGCAGACAAUGUAAAAGACUAAAAUUUGCAGAUAAGCUGCUUGAGAUUUUGCAAUCUUGUUGUUUAAACAACUAGGGAAAAAUAGAGUAUGGACUAAGAAAGCAUUUGGCAGAGAAAAGUUUCUUCAGCAAGAGGGAUAGAGAGAGAGGGGAAACACACACACUACAUAAUAUAUUUGAUAUAAUGCCAGUUUAUCCUCACCAUGCCCCAGAACCCUGGGUUAUAUAUACCAACUCCUCCAGAUGGACAGAUAUGAGUGCCCUCACUAUUACAGAGCACCUCCAUUUUGAGAGCCACCUUGUUACGUUCAAAACAUGACGACCGGUCAGUUGACACAAUUAUAGAUGACUCGUCCCCAAUUAUGGACCAUGGGUCAAUGUUUGAAGGAAUAUUGGCACCCCCAGCUUCAAACCCUGGAGGAAGAAAAAAACAGGAGAAAGAUAUCAUUAUGAUAAGUCUAAGCAUUAGCAACUGCAGAUGGUUUACUGAUAAUUUAUAUUUUUAGAGUGGGACUACAAGGGCCUAUCCCAGAAGUUUUUUUCUGUGACUCGAUCAUUUGUAGUCAACCAAAUCUGUUGAAGCGAGCUAGCUCAUGGCCAUCAAACUUGAGGGAGAAAAAAACAAACAACUUGAGCAGAAUACCAAAAAAACAAGAACUUGAGCAAGAACGUAAACAAAAAGACAAACGUGCAUAUCAUAUUGAAACUUCAGCCUAAUAGGAAUUACACUAGGCAUCUAGUUAUGAAUUGAGUUCUCCCAAAUGACUGAACAGAUCAGGUACCUUAAAAGCCAAUCAAACCAACAAGUUCAGAGAAGUCACAUCAAUAACAAGAGGGGAGAACUUCAUUGCGUAAGAGAGAUUAAAGAGAACGCAAUAGAAAAAUCAAACAGCCUAAAUGGGGAAAAGAAUAAUUUCUAGACAAAAUCCACCCAAAAGGUAAAUAUCUCUUCCAUGAAAAUGGAGUAUGACCCAUCAAGUGAUUAAAAUUUUUUAUUUGCUCACCAUCUCCUACACACCCUCCAAUGUCUAAUCCCCUCCCAAAGGGCACACAUUUGGACCCUAAAUUUAUUAGUCAGAACAAGUACUUUAGACAAGAAAAAAAAACCAAAUAUAUCCUUGAAAAUUUUGCAAUCUAAAGAUUCUGAACCUCAUACUUCUCUUCAAUAGUAGGGUUUCCACCAAUUAUGUAAUUUAAACACAGAAAGAAAGAAUAUCCUCUUAUAUUAUUUCUCUCUACUUCUUAUGAUUAUAAGGUUCUCAAACAAACCUCUGUUGCUUACAAGCUCUGCCCACAGCCCACCAGCACCAGCAUGGUUGAUCUCCUGUAGGGCAAGGAAUUCAAAAGGAUCAUUUGCUCGGCAAUAAAUGAAAAUGUUACAACAUCGCUAAAUGAGGUAAGUAAUCAAGCACUGCAGAAAUGCAGAAAGCUGUAAACUGAAAGUAAUUCAAAUUGUUAGUUUUCUCAUUAAUGGCAUCUUUUUGGUAAGUAAAACUAUGUAUCAUUAGAUGACAUCUUAGUAUGUCAUGGAUUGAUAUGUUGAAGGCCUUUUCCUUUUAAGAAGAAAACAUUCUAGAGCAAUCAAGUGAUUUAUGUAACCGUCUGUAAUUUUAGUCAAAUAUUAAUUGAACUAACCUCAAAGAAUAUUCCAAACAGUGUUUGAGGUAUUGGACGGCUUGACUGUUCGGAAGCAUCUAUAAACAGCUGAGCUGUCAGGUUUUUGUCAACCUCAUCAGCCAACAAUUGACGGGGAAGGCAGAAACUGAUGAAGAGGCAUAGUAAAAACACACAAGGAGCCUUGCAAUAACCCAUUGCCUACACCACAUCCAGCAUGAGGAAACAGCAUUCAGAGCACUGAUAUAAAAAUACAAUGCGUGACUCAAACACUUGUUUGUAUAGAGGAUUUUGGUGUAAACAGUAAAAGAACAUAAAUCGGUAUAAAGGGAAUAUUAAAUCAUUUGACGAUAAUUGGAAGUUAAACGAAAACAAGUAAAAUAAAAAUAUCAGCUCAGCAAUCAUGAAAAAAGUAGCUAAUUCCUAUUAUUGAUUGACAGCUAUUCGAUUCAAAUCCGAGGUAAAGAUUCACUAAUAUCAGACACUAUACUUGCUUGCAGGUACCACGAUUGACCGUCGAAAAGAGAUAUGGUCAAAGCAAAACAAAAACUGCACUUGAUUCAAUUAAACUCUUAGGUCAAAGCAAUGAACAGGGAAACAAAAACAAAAAGAAGAGCAUAAAAACAGUCUGUUAUUAUGCCACUAUCGAAAACCCAUCAUUGGGCAAACCUUAGAAACUGCACAGACAGAUUGAGAACGAAAAAGAAAAAGAAGUGAAACCCAGAUAAGAUGAAAGUAUUGGGAGUGAUGGGAUGAAGCAAUCAGAAUUUUAUAGUGAAGAAAUCAAAACAAAUGAUCCAAUGCAAUUUCAGAAUCAGUGAUAGAGUAGAGAUAAGAGUGUUGAGGAAGGAAAAGAUCUACCUCCAACGAAGCUGACGCGAGGACAGUAAAGUGUUAGCGGAAAAGACAGGACAAGUGUUUUGCUUCCACGGUUCGGUAUGCGGGUUGCCUUGCUUUCACGACAGCAAAAAAAUGUACUUUACACUUUGUAAGUUCCAGCCUUUGUAAUGUCCGCCUCUUCUAGCAAUCCUACAAUAGUAAAAGAUGACGAUUUUGCGACUUAGAAGCAACUCACUCAAUAAAGGAAAAAGUCCACUUCGAGUUUCCGCUCUAUCUCCCCCUUUGCUUACUUUAACAAUUUCUUGUGGUCCCUCUCCUCGAACUUAUCCAUUUCCAAGACCGGCAAUUAAUUAUUAUUAUCAUGCUUAACACAAUAAUUAGGUUCGGUUAACUAUAUCAUGUUUAAUUCUCUUUAAAGUGUAACUAUACCAAAAACAGUAAAGAGCAAAAAGAAAUCUUAACCCCCUUUCCCAAGUACUUUUCGCUUUAUUUGAUACAUGGAUUUUUAAUUUGUUAUGGCAUUGAUAUAUGUUUUUUCUUUUUGGUGGUGAACAAACUCUCUGGCCAACUAUAAGAUACUCUAUAACGAGAUUCCAUGGUUGUCAUCUUGUUCAAUCGUGAUUGUGUCGUAUUGCUAUUGUGCACGCUCGCUAUAUGAACUUCUGAAAGGAGUGACCUUAUGUCCCUUUCUUUCGUGAGGCAUCCUUGGAAAUAUUGCCUCUCACCUGCACAUUCCUAAGCCUAAUCAAAACCAAUUCGAGAAAGAGAAUUCUACAGUAUAAUUUUGAUGCUCCUUUCACUGUUCUCCAGAAUAUGAACUGGUUCUCCUUAGUAACUUGUGCAAUAGCAACAACACUAUGCAUCCUUGUAUUUCAAUUGGUGGCAAAUUCAUGAUGAACUUGGAUCUCCAUAAUUUCUUCUUAACGGAUAGAUCUUCCCUCACUACCUCUAAAGUGAGUUCAAAAGGCAUUCCAUAUCUUUGCCACCAUUGUAUGAAUCUAGGCAAGAGCCUGUAAUGGUGGUUGUUUACAUCCUCAAAAUAUUUUCAUUCCAAUUUUUCUAAAUGAUUUUGUAACAGCCCUUACUCGACUCGAUCACCGGAUUCAAGUCACCGAAUCCUAGAAUCAUUGUUAGAGUAACUACAUCAAUCAUACAAUUUCCGACCAUUUAAACAUGUAAUUCAAUAUGAAAUGUAUUCACAACAUGACACACAAUCAUUUUUGGGUCUCACACAAACUUAUCAAAGCUUUUUGCUACCGCGAGUAAGAAUUAGGACCAAAAGGUAAAGUUUUUAAAAGUCUCAAGCCGACCUCGCGACUUUAAAGCUUCCUCGCCACGGCGACGUCAUCUCAAUGAGUCACGUUGCGACGACAUGCGCCCCAUGUCGCAAUGUCACUCACUGUCAAAUGACAUUGCGACGUCAAAUACUUCUCUUCGCAACAUUGCCUUUGUUUUUACCAAAAUGCACAUUUGAUAUCUAAUUCAAAUAAUUCCAAAUCAUUUCAUACAUGUUUUCAUCCAAUCUUCACAAAAAUAAAAUCAUUAAAUCAAACCAAUUGACAACCAACUCAAGUAUAAAACCAAAUAAUCAUUUUAGUGUUCUUUCUGCAUAUCCUGGUUGUUCAGUUAAGUCUACUAUGGGCCAAAAGAAAAGUGUUAAGUGAAAAUUAAUAUUGAUUAAGAGUAAGUGAAAUAUAGUAAAAUUGUAAGUGAAAAUGAGCAUUUAAUGAUCUUUUAAUUAAAUUCAUUGGGUUAUAUUUAAAGUAUUGACAUGUUAAAUUUAAUUAAGGUAAUAGUAAGUUUAAUUCUUAAUGUACUUACUAAACUUUUAUAAGCUUAACACGUUAUUUUUCAAUACAUAAGUGAUAGAGACUCGAAUUAAAGCUUUAGAGUGAAGAUAUAAUUUCAAUUCAUCACAUCUCAAAUAUUGGAAAAGGGUAUGAUUUUGAUCUUUUAACAAUAGAUCAUGACAUGUACAUAAGUUAAAAUAAAGCAUCUGCACAAGAUUCCUAGUGAAAAUUGUAAUAGCCCAUUUUGCCCAGGCCAAAGCACAAAUAAAUAAAAUCCAAAAUAACAAAAAUAUUCAUAAAGUCCAAAUUACAAACAGGCCCAAUAUGACCCAAAUUAGAAAAACCUUGCAGCCCAAAAUGGCCCAAAGCUUAAGCUGUUUCAGAAAAAAAAAAAACCCUAGGGCACCAUGUGCGCCGCACUGCUUCUUCGUGCCCUUGCAGCGCACUCGUCGCCCGAAGCAUGAUAGAUAUCAGCGGCCUUGCACCAAAAUGGCCAGGGUUAUCCCUCCAACGCUCGUUGACCUUGCCAAAACCUGCAAACAGGGCAAAAAGGAGACAAACACGGAAGCAAAGCAAAAGCAAACAAAAACAGCGUGUAAAUCGGCUAUAAAUGGCCUGAGAAAAUAUUGUAAAAAGGGGAGGGGGAUUUUUGUAUGAAAAAAAAGAUUGAAAAAAUAAAAUACAAAAACAGAGGUGAUUCUAAAAGCUUUUUUCAAUUUUUUCCUUUCUGUUCUUAUAUAUUUUUUCUUGAUCUAUUCUUUUCUUCUGAUAUACAUUCGAAAAUAAAAUAAAAAAACAAAUAAGGUAGAAGCGAUUUUCGAUUUCUUUUGGGGUGUUCUUCGAUUAUGUUUUAUGCAUAAGAUAAAAUAAAGAGAGGGAGGGGAGCGUACCUUGUCGUCGGAGCCGUCGAACUCCAUCGUAAUCAAAGCCUUGGUGAGCCCGAAAGCAUAAGAGCGGGGUAGAGGAGAACUUUAGGGCUAUUAUGUUUUUUUAAAAGGGGGAGUGUCUGCUGAGGCUUAGGGAUUUGUUAGAAUCAUUGUUUCUUAUUGAAACAGUGCCGUUUAGACUCUGUUUCAAUGGUCUAAGACGGCGCCAUUUAAGUUAUUCAAUAUCAGCAACCCGCAUGACCCGACCAGCACGCGUAGGAUCCGCGUAUUUCUAGUGGAGGGGAUAUUUACCCUUAUGGUCCUUCUGAUUCUCAAAUAUUUUUC